Molecule: ribosomal RNA, 467 nt
Filed under: uncultured bacterium
Lineage: Bacteria
Description: partial 16S ribosomal RNA
Rfam family: Bacterial small subunit ribosomal RNA
Source: RNAcentral
GACGAACGCUGGCGGCGCGCCUAACACAUGCAAGUCGAACGGAGUCAAGAGGAGCUUGCUUUUCUUGACUUAGUGGCGAACGGGUGAGUAACGCGUGAGUAACCUGCCCUGGAGUGGGGGACAACAGUUGGAAACGACUGCUAAUACCGCAUAAGCCCACGGAUCUGCAUGGAUCUGCGGGAAAAGGAUUUAUUCGCUCUAGGAUGGACUCGCGUCCAAUUAGCUAGUUGGUGAGGUAACGGCCCACCAAGGCGACGAUUGGUAGCCGGACUGAGAGGUUGAACGGCAACAUUGGGACUGAGACACGGCCCAGAAUCCUACGGGGGGCAGCAGGGGGGGAUAUUGCAAAAGGGGGGAAACCCUGAUGCAGCGACGCCGGGGGGAGGAAGAAGGUUUUCGGAUUGAAAACCCCUUUCGUUAGGGACGAUAAUGACGGUACCAAAAAAGAAAGCCCCGGCAAACUACGU